Molecule: ribosomal RNA, 468 nt
Filed under: uncultured bacterium
Lineage: Bacteria
Description: partial 16S ribosomal RNA
Rfam family: Bacterial small subunit ribosomal RNA
Source: RNAcentral
GACGAACGCUGGCGGCGUGCUUAGCACAUGCAAGUCGAACGGAAAGGCCCUGCUUUUGUGGGAUGCUCGAGUGACGAACGGGUGAGUAACACGUGAGUAACCUGCCCUUGACUUUGGGAUAACUUCAGGAAACUGGGGCUAAUACCGGAUAGGAGCUCCUGCUGCAUGGUGGGGGUUGGAAAGUUUCGGCGGUUGGGGAUGGACUCGCGGCUUAUCAGCUUGUUGGUGGGGUAGUGGCUUACCAAGGCUUUGACGGGUAGCCGGCCUGAGAGGGUGACCGGCCACAUUGGGACUGAGAUACGGCCCAGACUCCUACGGGAGGCAGCAGUGGGGAAUAUUGCACAAUGGGCGGAAGCCUGAUGCAGCAACGCCGCGUGCGGAAUGACGGCCUUCGGGUUGUAAACCGCUUUCGCCUGUGACGAAGCGUGAGUGACGGUAAUGGGUAAAGAAGCACCGGCUAACUACGUG